RNAcentral lists this ribosomal RNA (460 nucleotides) under uncultured bacterium. RNAcentral describes it as "partial 16S ribosomal RNA". It matches the Rfam family "Bacterial small subunit ribosomal RNA", at positions 338 to 795 of the family's 1533-position model. The record is from RNAcentral.
CCUACGGGUGGCAGCAGUGAGGAAUAUUGGUCAAUGGGCGCGAGUCUGAACCAGCCAAGUAGCGUGCAGGAUGACUGCCCUACGGGUUGUAAACUUCUUUUAUAAAGGAAUAAAGUGAGGCACGUGUGCCUUUUUGUAUGUACUUUAUGAAUAAGGAUCGGCUAACUCCGUGCCAGCAGCCGCGGUAAUACGGAGGAUCCGAGCGUUAUCCGGAUUUAUUGGGUUUAAAGGGAGCGUAGAUGGGUUGUUAAGUCUGUUGUGAAAGUGUGCGGCUCAACCGUAAAAUUGCAAUGGAUACUGGCAGUCUUGAGUACAGUUGAGGUAGGCGGAAUUCGUGGUGUAGCGGUGAAAUGCUUAGAUAGCACGAAGAACUCAGAUUGCGAAGGCAGCUUACUAAACUGCCACUGACAUUGAUGCUCGAAGGUGUGGGUAUCAAACAGGAUUAGAUACCCCAGUAGUC